CCUGCCUCCAGAUUACAGUACUUCGCCAGAGGGCUGCAGGUGUACAUUCGCCAGCUGCGAGUUGCCCUGCAAGGCAAGACUGAGACGCACUGAAGACCGAAGAGAACAAGAUCAAAGUGGUGGCUCUGAAGAUCACCAACAACAUCAACGUUCUGAUCAAGGAUCUCUUCCACAACCCACCGUCGUACAAGAGCAGUGUCACGCUGUCCUGGAAGCCUGUCCAGAAGGCUGAGACUGUAGCUCUGAAGCGCCCGUCCGGGGAGGAUAUGGGUGCAGGCAGUACCAUGAAGAAGCAGCUGUCCCCCCCCCUGCCCCGGAGGGAUGCACGGCAGAUCUACAACCCCCCCAGUGGCAAGUACAGCGCCACCAUCGGCAACUUCUCUAACGAGCAGCGUGGAGGCUUCAGGGGCGGCCGGGGGAGAGGAUUCGGAGGCAGGGGUCGAGGCCGAAUCUACUGAGUCCACCAUCACACACACACACACACUACACACACUGAACUGCAGCACAUCAGGAUCCCUGCCGUAACCAAGGGGGUCUCCAUGACCACCGCUCCUCAACCUGUGUCCACUUGUUCUUUUUCCUCCGCCUCCAAACACCUGUGCAAAGGAAGUUGUUGUUUUUUUGGUCGUUUCCUGCCCUCAGAGUAAAUCCACUUCAAGGAGACUGGGAUUUGGACUUUCCUACCUGACAUUUCCACCCUCACACUCUUGCCUGGUGAAGCGAUUGUUCAAGUAGAUCCUUGUGGUUUUAGUUUUUUAUUAGUAUUUUUGUGGAACCAGAGACUGACAAGUUGUACCUGAUUUGAUAUUUUUGUCAGAAGAAAAAAAAAGUUUUAUAAACUGUUGACAAAUGCAUUCUCUUUUUAUUUCUUUAAAAAAAAAUCGAGCUUGGAUUUGGAUUGGCCUUCUCUCUUCGCUACUUUGUAUGAAUCCAAAUUUUUUCAUCUGAAUUUUUUUUUUUAUCAAACUUGUAUUGAUGUCUCCACCACCAUGCCCUUUUGUUUGUGUAAAACCUUGUUAAAAUAAGACAAUUACAUUGAAAACCAAUGUAUUCUGAAUUUUUAGGUAGUAGGAAAAACUAGAUUAUUUCCUCUGCAAACAGGCUGUGUGACGCCGAAUAGAUGAUUAUUAAAGUAAUUUUGUUUUAUUGGACAUUGGGUGUCUUUUGAAUCAGUCAAGGCAGAUUUAGGACUUGGGAGUUCAAUUUUAAUUAACUCCCAAGUAGCUUUUCUACUAAAUUUAAAUGAGUUUAGAGUCUCAAUUUGAGUUUUCCAUUCAUGUUUUGCAUGCUUUUAUUUUUAUUAAAUAUUUCUCCCCAUGUUAUUUAAAAACUUUUGGAUUAAAAAAAGGAAAUCAAAUCUGA
Molecule: long non-coding RNA, 1362 nt
Organism: Oncorhynchus masou masou (cherry salmon)
Lineage: Eukaryota; Metazoa; Chordata; Actinopteri; Salmoniformes; Salmonidae
Exons: 5
Source: RefSeq, a predicted model, not a curated record